AUCCAUGUGAAAAAAGAUCCCAACCCUAUACGUUGACGUUUAGAAUUUAUUCAUUGCACUUACUGAAAUGAAAAGCUUGAAUGACUAUACUGAAGAAUUUCUUUCUAUUGUAGAUGACUUUGAGAGAGAAAAGAAAAAUGGAGAGAUGCUGCUGAAUUCUCUUGAGAGAGACGAUGGAGAUGGAGAUCAAGACAAACAAGAAGAGGAAGCAGAGGAAGAGAAAGACAAGGACACAAAUAUUUUACAUUGUCGGCCCAAAAUUAGCCUACAUCCACGAAGAGGAGCUGAUAUUAGUCUUGGAGAUGAUCUUGAAGAUCUACAGAUGAGUCACUUUGCUAGUUCUACUUAUCUUUUGAUUUGUAUAGUACAUAUAAAAUCUAGCUACAAGUGUAUUUAUAGUUUUAUUUGUGUACAACGGUCCCAACAAACUUUGUAGAAGUUCAUUCAAUCAUUUUUUUUUUAACAAUCUUCACCUUGAAAUUAACUUCAAGGAGUUUCUUCCAGCUACCCUUUUUGCUAACCCUUUUCUUCUUCAACCUUUGUCUCUCAACUCAAACUCUAUAAUAUCGAGGCAUUUCUGAAGUUUGAGCUGGGUGACAGUCUUGGAUAACAUGUUGGAGGCAUAAUCUGAGGCUCUUCUUUCUCGGACAAAAUUAGCUCAAUGUGGCCAGGAGAAGACAUGUAAAAUCAGCUCAAUGUGGCAAGGAGAAGACAUGUAAGCUGCCAACCAGUCAGAAAAGAAUAUAGAAUUGAAGGUCAGGCAAUAGGUUCAAUUUCCUAUUUUUUUCAACUUUCUAAUGAUGAUUGCUCCUGGGGCUGUUUAUUGGCCUUUCAGGAGUAGGGCUCCUGUCAAUUACAAAUGUAGAAGUUUGUGAAGCAACUGCUGGUAUAUAAACUCAGAACAAUACAACUGAUGUUAAAGGAACAAACAGUAAGAAAGAAACAGAGAUAAAAGGAAAUAAGAAUGAAGUCGAAUCCUGGAGAAGUUAGAGCCAUCUGAAAUGGGAUGUUGAUUAGCAGAUCUCUCAACUCCCAGAACUCCUGAAGGCAAAUUAUUAUCAAUGUCCAGUAACACACGGAAAGAAUAUUACAGAGGAAAGCAGAAGGCUGAAGCCCAACUAAACACGACACAAACCAUUUAGCCUUGCACUUUGAACGCUUUCCUAGUCGGCCACUUUUCUCUCUUUUUCGGCCUUUUCUUUUCCGUCCACGGUGAGGCUUUGCUGUCUUCUUGAAUCUCCUCUUCCUGUACUUAGUAGAAACCAAAUUCGUUCAGAUCUGGCGAAUUGAUUAUCUGCGAACCUUGUCCAGAUCUGGUGUAUCAAACCAAACUGCAACAACAGAGGGCAAGAUGUAUUAAACAGAGAAAUUAGAAAAAAAAAAAAAAAGGAAAAAAAAAACAGAAAGAAAAAACAAAAAUCUGCAAACCUUGUCCAGAUCUAGUGAUCGUUCGACGACGGAACAAACGACGAACGGCGACUGAAGGAAUGACAAACGACGACGGCGGCAGAUAUGGCAAUCGUCGGCAGCAAAUCUGGAGACACGCGAACGACGACGAAAUGAACAAUAGAUCUGACGGAGACACGCGAACGACGACGAAAUGAGCAGCAGAUCCGGUGGAAUGACCAACAAAUCCACUUUGGAAGAUAGAGUGAGAAACGAAAUGAGCAGUAGACAUGGGUUUGGAAGAGAGGAGUGAGAAAGAAUAGGGUAUGAAGAGGAAAGUGUGAGAAUGAGAGGAAAAAUAAAAUAGAGGGAGAGUGAAGAGGGAAAUGAAAAAAAUUGGAGGAAAAUAGAAAGUUGGAGGAAAAAGUGAAGUGGGUCUUUAAUUUCGGUUUGAAACCGACAUUAAAGAUACCCUACAAUGUCGGUUUUAAACCGACAUUAAAGAUCUGCUUUUUAAAAAAAAAAACAAAAAACAAAACCGACAUCAUACAUCCGAUUUCACUUUUUUCAACCGACAUUAAAGCCCAAAAUUCUUGUAGUGAUGUGUUUUGUUCGAUUAUGAUAUUGUGAGUGCUUAGAUAGAUGUAUAGUACUCUGAUUAUCACAUAAUAUUUUUACUGUAUCUUGCUUAAUACCAAAAUCACGUAGAAGUCCUUUUAGCCAUAACCCCUCCUUUACUGCCUCUGAAAGGGCAAUAAAUUUAGCUUCAGUAGUGGAAAGGGCUACUACUAACUGUAAUGUAGCCUUCCAACUUAGUACACACCGUCUAACAUAGGAAGAUAUAACCUAAUAAGGAUUGCCUUUUAUCUAAUUCUCCAGUGUAGUCAGAGUCAACAUACCCCAUUCUGGUCCAUUGCCUGAAGCUUGUUGAUACAGUAGUUUGGCACUUAAAGUGCCCUUAAGAUACUUCAUAAUCCACUUUGUUGCCUCCCAAUGCCUCUUAACCAAAUUAGCCAUGUACCUACUUAUUAGACUUGUAGCAUAAGCAAUAUCUAGUCUUGUAGAAAUCAUUAGGUACAUUAGAGUUCCCACAACGUGAGAAUAGGGAAUAGUUGACAUUAUCUUCAAAUGUUCAAUGUCUGACUCUUUUGGUGAGUUUUCUGCUGAAAGUUUGAAACAAUGUGUGAUAGAAGUACUGACUGCUUUAGCUUCUAUCAUGUGAUAUUUCUUGAUUAAUUUUUCACAAUAUUGUGUCUGAUCAAUGCUAAGUUUUUAUGAUUUUCUAUCUCUGCUAAUAUCAAUGCCAAAAAAUUUGUUUGCAUUACCCAUAUCUUUCAUUUCAAGUUCUGAUUUCAGUAGGUCUUUAACUUGAUUUAAGUCUUUCAUAAUUGUUCCUGAUAGCAACAUAACAUCUACAUAGAGGAGUAGAUAGAUAGGAUGUGUAUAGGUGUUAGUGUUUAUAUAAACACAAUUAUCAUAAGAACUCUUAGUAAAUCCAUUCUUCUGUAUAAAAUCAUUGAAUCUUUUGUUCCAAUACCUAGGAGAUUGUUUAAGGCCAUAAAUAGAUCUUUUAAGUAAACAGUAAUGAUCUUUUCUCUCUCUUACUUCAUAGCCUUUUGGUUGACUCAUAUAAAUGAAUUCAUCUAAGAAGCCAUGUAGAAAGGUUGUUUUGACAUCAAGUUGCUCUAGCUCUAGGUCUUGUUGAGCCACAAUGGACAAUAUAAGUUUGAUAGAUGUUUGUUUGACCACAAGGGAAAAAUCUCAUUGUAGUCAACACCUUGUCUUUGAGUGAAUCCCUUUGCAACCAGCCUAGCUUUAUAUCUAGGUCAUUAACCAUUAGGGACACCUUACUUGUACUUAUAAACCCAUUUGGAUGCAAUUGGUUUGCACCCUUUAGGUAAGAGAACCAACUCCCAAGUGUCAUUCUUUAUAAGAGAUUCAACCUCUUCAUUCAUUGCCUCUAUCCAUAUUUUAGCUUUAGUGCUUACUGCCUCUCCAAAGGUAAAGCGUUCAAGUUCAUUGUUGAGGCCUAAAGCAUUUAAAGCUAAAUUGAUAUAAUCAUCAUAUCUUGAGGGGGGCAUUAUAGUUCUUCUUUACCUAUCCUUGCUAGGCUAUAACCCCUUAGGUCUGGUUCCUCUUGCUCUAGAUCAGAAACAACAUUUUCUACAUCUUCUUCAUGAUGAGGUAGUUGAUCAAUUUGUGAUUCUGAGCUUGAGGGAUCAGUGGUAGGAUUUAGGAGCUGCUCCACCUCAAUUGUAUCAAACUUUCCUUGAGGUGCUGAAACAUUUGAAUUAGGAUUUUGCAUAAACAUUUCAGUCUCCCUAAAGAUGACAUCUCUGCUUGUUAUACACCUUUUUUCUGUAAGAUGCCACAAUCUAAAGCCUUUCACACCUUCAGCAAAACCUAAAAACAUAUAUUUCACUGAUCGGGUAACUAACUUCCCCUUGUUCUUGUUUACAAAACCUGUGCAACCAAACACCCUUAGGUUGUUUAGAUUAGAAGAAUGUUUAGUCCACCUUGCUUAUGAGGGCAUGAGGCAUGAGGCAUGAGGGUGUCUAUUGAGAGUAUAGACAGUAUAAUAUGUUGCCUCAGCCCAAAACUUCUCAAGAAGGAUGACAUUUGAUAAGAGACUCCUCACUCUCUCCAUGAUUGUUCAGUUUAAUUUCUCUGCCACCUCAUUUUGCUGGGGUGUGUACCUUACAGUCUUGUGUCUAAUAAUCCCCUGUUGCCUACAAAAGACAUUAAACUCUUCUGCACAGAACUCAAGCCCAUUAUCAGUCCUAAGACACUUUAUUUGGCUAUUAGUUUGUUUUUUAACCAUAGUCUUCCAUUCUUUGAACUUUUCAAACACCAAAUCCUUAGUUUUAAGGAAAAAUAUCCAGUAUUUCCUAGAGUAAUCAUCAACAAAGGUUAAGAAAUACCUGACUCCACUCAGGGAUUGGAAAGGUGAAGGGCCCCAAAGGUCCGAAUGCACAUAAUCAAGGAUGGCCUUGGUUGUAUGUUGAGCCUUAACAAAACUCUUCCUUGUAGCUUUACCUAUCGCACAAUGCUCACAGAAGGAUAGGGUUUGAUGAAUUUCUUUAGGUAGAAUUCCUUGAUUGGCAAGAGCUUGUAGACCUUUGGCACUAAUGUGAGAAAAUCUUUUGUGCCAAAGAUAUCCUUCAGUAGGCUCUUUAGAAGUCACAACUAAGGCUGAAUGCACUUUCUAAACUCCUUGAACAACAUAGAUCUCAUUUAUUUUAAUCCCUCUGAAAAUAGGCUUACUAUUCUUCAAUACUUCACAGUAGCCUUCCUUUGCUCUGUUUAGCAACCAAUUGAAUUAAGAAUGCCUAGUGAAAUCAAGUUCUUCUUCAACUUAGGUACAUGUCUAAAAUUUCUUAGUAAUUUGACUGACCCAUCUUCAAGCUUGAGUGAAACAAAACCAAUACCAAUCAUUGGACAUGAGUUAUUAUUACCCAUGUAUACUGAGCCUCCAUCCAGAUCUUUAUAUGUGCUGAAUCAGUCCUUGUGAGGUGUCAUAUGAAAAGAACACCCUGAGUCUAGAACCCAAUCUAGGUUCUUAUCUUCUGCCUUUUGAUUUGAUGUAGCUCAGGCAUCUGGAUAGAAAAUAGAGUCCUUUCUGACUAAGGCUUCUCUUGACUGACUUGGCUGGUUUUUCUGUUGAGGCUGUGAUUGUGAUUGUUUGUUCGUCUGUUUAUUUCUCCAUUUCAAGGUUCUACAAUCCUUGAUUAGAUGGCCCAACUUUUUACAAUAUUUGUAUCUAACCUUGGAUUUUUCUUUACCUUCUUCUAUAGAAUUAUGAUUGCCUUUUUAUUUGUUGCUUUGUUUAGACUUCCCCUUAAUAAAUAAACCCUCAGCACUGGGUUUCUCUUCUUUCCUGGUUAGAAGCUCCAUUUCUCUAAUUUUUAGGGCUGAAAUUAUUAUAUCGAUUGAUAAAGAGUCUCUACCAUACUUUAAUGUUGUCUCAACAUCUUUGUAAGAAUCUGCAAGUGAGUUAAGAAGCACAAAGGCUUCAUUGACAACCCCAAUCUCUUCACCUUGAGUCUUAAAUUCUAUUGUGAUUCUCUUGAAGUCGUCAAGAUUUUCAGUUAAUGAUUUUGAAGAGCUCAUAUUGAAGGUGAAAAACCUUUCUCUCAAGAAGUGUUUGUUCGAAAAGUUCUUUGUCUCAUACAACUCAUUCAAUUUAGUCCACAUCUUGAAGGUUGUUUCUUGGUCAAUUACUUGUCUUAGUACACUGUCUAACAGGUUUGGUACAAGAGUACCGUGAGCAAUUAGCUUCAUAUUCUCCAUUUCUUCUUCAGUUGCUGUGAUAGGUAGUUUAGUUGGGUCUUCAAGAACCUUGUGUACUCUUUGUUGCCCUAAAAUCGCUUUAAUUUUGGCUUUCCACAAGCCAAAAUCUCCUUUUCCAUCAAAUUGUUCAAUAUCAUAUCUUGCUACUUCCCUUUUUUGACUUCUUUUGACAUCAAAAGCUCCAAGAUUUACUUUCUUUUAGAUCUUGACCAAUCUUGAAGUUUUCUUGCAGGUUCUGAUACUACUUUCUUGGGCCUUGGAAGCUGAAGAUAAACGAGAUUUGCGCUUACUAAAUGAAUCUGAGGCCCGAGUAAAAGUAGAAAACCAUUUGAUCCUUGAGAAAAACCAGCUGAAAACAAAACAAUGUGAAAAAAGAUCCCAGCCCUACAUGUUGACGAUCAGAAUUUAUUCAUUGCACUUACUGAAAUGAAAAGCUUGAAUGAUUAUACUAGAGAAUUUCUUUCAAUUGCAGAUGACUUCGAGAGAGAAAAGAAAAAUGGAGAGAUGCUGUCAAAUUCUCUUAAGAAAGACGAUGGAGAUGGAGAUCAAGACAAACAAAAAGAUGAAGUAGAGAAAGAGAAAAGCAAGGGCACAAAGAUCUUUUGAUUUACAGAUGAGUCACUUAACUAGUUCUACUUUUCUUUUGAUUUGUACGGUAGAUAUAAAAUCUAACUACAAGUGUAUUUCUAGUUUUUUUUGUGUACAACGGUUACAACAAACUUUAUAGAUGUUGAUUUCAUCAUUUCCAUAAAUUUCAAUGAACGGGAUCCACAUGCUGAAUCCUUCUUUUUCCAAGACUCGGCUGCCAGAACUCCCAUACACGCAACUAUUAAUUGCAGUCGUCAACAGUUGAAUCACUUUCUUGUUGAGAAGCUAAGAAAAGGAAAAAUGAUUAGUUAUGCAACAGAAGGUGACAUGGAGACUAAAAGACAAAGGGGCACUCAAAAGAAAAAUUCAAGAAGAGAUCCCAAAAGCCAGAAAAAGCCAUGGCUGCCAUGGAUCUCCCUUCCCUCUGUCGUCGACUAGAUUUGCUCGCCCUACCGUGCCGUCAAGUAAAUCUACUCAACCUAUGACUGUGAUUCGCCUUACACCAUUCGUGCCAUCGAUUUAUCCCAAGUCGUUCAUGUCACCUCGUGUCGAGCCAUCAAUUCGCCCCACAUCGUCAUCUACCACCUUCAACUCACAUCAUCGAAUGGAGAAAAGAGAGGAAGGGGGAAGGAGAAAAAAGAGGGAAGAGGAAGAAAUGAGUGUGAAUUAUGGGGGAAAGAAUAUAUGAAAUAUAUUAUUAGGGGAGAGAGAACAUAUGCAUGGAAGAGAGAUAAUAUGCAUGGGAAAGAGAGUAUAUAUGUGGGAGAGAGAAUAUGCAUGAAGGAGAGAGAAUAUGCAUGGGGAAAGAGAAAUACAUAUAUUAAUUUAAUUAAUUAUAUCAUAUAUAAUUAAUUUCCUCAAUUAAUUCGA
Benincasa hispida (wax gourd) is the source of this 7134-nucleotide non-coding RNA. The record is from RefSeq and is a predicted model, not a curated record. Lineage: Eukaryota; Viridiplantae; Streptophyta; Magnoliopsida; Cucurbitales; Cucurbitaceae.